RNAcentral lists this small RNA (166 nucleotides) under uncultured Acetatifactor sp. Its description in RNAcentral is "Clostridiales-1 RNA". It matches the Rfam family "Clostridiales-1 RNA". Lineage: Bacteria; Bacillati; Bacillota; Clostridia; Lachnospirales; Lachnospiraceae. The record is from RNAcentral.
GAUGCCAGGGGCAAAAGGUCUAAAACCACAUGAGCUUGCUCAUAAGUGGGUAAAAGACCUUGGGCCCCGCCCCGAUAUGAGCAUAAAAGUGGGAUGAUAAUCCCACGAUAUGCGAAUAUUGGGGCGGAUUGUGAGAGUGCAUAGCACGGAACAAUCCGUAGGCAUC